RNAcentral lists this unclassified non-coding RNA (351 nucleotides) under Hevea brasiliensis (rubber tree). Lineage: Eukaryota; Viridiplantae; Streptophyta; Magnoliopsida; Malpighiales; Euphorbiaceae. The record is from RNAcentral.
CUCUUUUUCUAGCACCAGUUCUACUCCAUCACCAAGACCAGCAGCUAUAGGACAAAGCAAGAGACACAGGAUAAUAAAUGAGGUAGAACCAGACAAUAGUUCUAGCCAUAGGCCGAUUCAACAAGGAUCAAUACCUACUGGUGAUGACACAAGGAUCAAAGUCCACUUGCCAAAGGAAACAAGGCAUGGGAGUGGGACUGGCAGUAGUCGGGAACAAUGCCAGCAGGGUGAUUCUCCACAUCCAGGGGAGUUGGUUAUCUGCAAGAAGAAGAGGAAAGACAGGGAUAAGUCGGUGGUUAAGUCAAGGACUGGAUCUAGUGGCCCAGUUUCUCCCCCUAGCAUGGGUCGUAA